AUUUCUCUGAGAAAAAAUCCGUCUCUUUUCUCUCUGCCAUGAUAGAGGGUUUUGGCUUCUUCUCUUUUCUUAGCAAAAUUUGACUCCCAUAUCUUAUAAUCAUAAAUUUGUAUGUCCAUUCUAAGGAAAUUCUCGCAAACUCAAAGCAAUUUGACUGAAGAAUUCAAAAUUCAUUUGCCAUUUACAAUGAAGUUGACAAAGGUAAAAAGGGUUCUCUUUUUCAUCUCUUCACAAUAUCGGCAACCGAAUCCCUGCUCCUUCUGCCCAUAUCGUCCUUUGCUUCCUGUUGCACGCCAUUUCAAAUGGUUCUUUAGCCGUUUGAAACCCUAAUCCUUCAAGAAUCCCGUCCAAAUUAACCCUAGAAAAGCCCUAGUAAUUCUUCUAUAAAUACCGAGGUUUGGUAAUAAUUUCGGACAACUUUGGAGCCACCGCAUCUCUGCCUCUUUAAACAAAUUUAUUCUUCAAAAUACUCUAAAAGUCUUAGUCGUGUAGCCUCUGCUGCUCUUCGCUACAACAGAGGAUUUUUUCUUUUCACUUUUCGGAGCUUGUAAAAUCCGUGGUUGUAAGCUCGAGUUCAAGUUCGAAGCCAGAGUCCAGUAGAUCUGCUUGACGAGCCCCAGUUCCUGCACCACAAAAGGUCAGUAACUUCUCAUCUCUUCUUCCUUUUUUUCUUCUUCUCAUAUCCGAAGUAAAUGUAUAUUUCUUCUUAAGAGUGAGUUAUAGUUUGUUUCAUGUGUAGAAAGCAUGCUCUAAGGUAUUAUUUGAGUGUAAAAAUGACUGAUUAUGUGCCUUUGUUGUGUGUGAACAAAAUAAGAGAGGAUUAAAAUACCAGAAAUUGUCCCAUGUUUGUUUCUUAAAAUGAUAAACUUAGAAUGUUUUCCAGCAUAUCCAAAGCUAGUUUGAAGCAACUUAAUAUAGUGAUUUAUUGGCUAACUGGAUGAUUUGCAAAGAAAAUAAUCUGUUAACACUCCAUGAAGUGCAGUGUUAAUAGAAUAUUUUAACACUAGCUCAAAAACUAGUACUACUAUUUCCUUUCACUGUUAAUAGAUAGUAUGCCAUUAGAAUAUUUUAAUAGCUAGUUUUAAGACUUCAAGACAAAGUAGCAAAGCAUGUGUUUGUGUGUUAAUGUGUAUUAAUGAUCCUAAAAGUCUACUGCCAUUUCGUCAUUUUACUAGGAAGCAUGUGGCUAGAAUUUUAAUAUCUAACUUUAAGACUUAAGACGGAAGUGGAAACCAUGUUGUUCUAAGUAUUAAGAAUCAUGUUGGCUAGAUUAAUCUGUUUCCCCUUUAGAUUUCAAAUGAACAAGGAAAGUUAAUAUGCUAGACUUAAUAUUUAGAUUAGAGGACAUACCUAAACUUAGAGACUAAUGAAUCUGUUUGUAUAAGAUUGCUGAAGUAUUUUUAAAAUAUUUGUUUUAUGUGAGUUAAUAAUCCUGUUGUAGGUUUAGAAUCCUUCAAGUUUACUGCUUUUCUAUCUCAAUUUAUUGCCAAUAUCUUUAUUUCUAAUUCUUGUCUUUUCUUUUCCUUUGUUUGCAUAUGCACUUGAAGUAAUAUGAGUCUUAAUGCAAGACUCACCCCCGAUCAUGGAGUCAUCAUCGUAUCUUAGGCUAAAGGACAAGAAGAAAACAAGCAAAACUUACUUGAGGUCGUCUAUGGCGGCUUUCAUUAAUCUUUACUCAUUUUAUCUGAAUUUGGUUAGUUCUUGUGAUUUGGUUCUAUUUGAGUUUUUUUUUUAUGAUUGAUGAUUAAUUUUAUCAUGUAGACUUACAACUUUAAUUUUGGUGGAAUACCUCGUUAAUUAAG
This 1802-nucleotide long non-coding RNA is filed under the name Nicotiana tabacum (common tobacco). RNAcentral describes it as "long non-coding RNA (NTAB_LNC002419)". The record is from RNAcentral. Lineage: Eukaryota; Viridiplantae; Streptophyta; Magnoliopsida; Solanales; Solanaceae.